Long non-coding RNA from Sinocyclocheilus anshuiensis, 100 nucleotides. RefSeq lists it as uncharacterized. The record is from RefSeq and is a predicted model, not a curated record. Lineage: Eukaryota; Metazoa; Chordata; Actinopteri; Cypriniformes; Cyprinidae. The transcript has 3 exons.
ACACACUCCCACAUACAGAUUUAAUUGAUUUCUUUCAUAAAUUGCAGUGACUGCUCUAAAAUAUGAAACGCCAAUGUUUCAGGAGUUUAGGAUACAGAAC